RNAcentral lists this ribosomal RNA (1397 nucleotides) under metagenome. RNAcentral's name for it is "bacterial LSU rRNA". It matches the Rfam family "Bacterial large subunit ribosomal RNA", at positions 786 to 2166 of the family's 2925-position model. The record is from RNAcentral.
UCUUUGAAAAGCCAGGGGAUGACUUGUGGAUAGGGGUGAAAGGCUAAUCAAACUCGGUGAUAGCUGGUUCUCCCCGAAAGCUAUUUAGGUAGCGCCUCGGACGAAUACCAUUGGGGGUAGAGCACUGUUUCGGCUAGGGGGUCAUCCCGACUUACCAAACCGAUGCAAACUCCGAAUACCAAUGAGUACUAUCCGGGAGACAGACUGCGGGUGCUAACGUCCGUAGACAAGAGGAAAACAAUCCAGACCGCCAGCUAAGGCCCCAAAAUUAUAGUUAAGUGGGAAACGAUGUGGGAAGGCAUAGACAGCUAGGAGGUUGGCUUAGAAGCAGCCACCCUUUAAAGAAAGCGUAAUAGCUCACUAGUCGAGUCGGCCUGCGCGGAAGAUGUAACGGGGCUAAAACUAUAUGCCGAAGCUGCGGAUUUGCAAUUUAUUGCAAGUGGUAGGGGAGCGUUCUGUAAGCCGAUGAAGGUGUAUUGAGAAGUAUGCUGGAGGUAUCAGAAGUGCGAAUGCUGACGUGAGUAACGACAAUGCGAGUGAAAAACUCGCACGCUGAAAGACCAAGGGUUCCAGUCCAACGUUAAUCGGGGCUGGGUGAGUCGACCCCUAAGGCGAGGCCGAGAGGCGUAGUCGAUGGGAAAUUGGUUAAUAUUCCAAUACUUCUAUGUAAUGCGAUGAGAGGACGGAGAAGGUUAAGUCAGCCUGGCGUUGGUUGUCCAGGUGGAAGGUUGUAGGCAUGUAUCUUAGGCAAAUCCGGGGUACUCUAUGCUGAGAACUGAUAGCAAGCUGUACUUGUACAGUGAAGUGGCUGAUACCAUGCUUCCAGGAAAAGUCUCUAAGCUUCAGUUACAUAGGAAUCGUACCCGAAACCGACAUAGGUGGUCAGGUCGAGUAGACCAAAGCGCUUGAGAGAACUCUGCUGAAGGAACUAGGCAAAAUGGUACCGUAACUUCGGGAGAAGGUACGCUGCCGACGGUGAUAGGAUUUACUCCUUGAGCUAUUGGCAGCCACAGAAACCAGGCCCCUGCAACUGUUUAUUAAAAACAUAGCACUCUGCAAACACGAAAGUGGACGUAUAGGGUGUGAUGCCUGCCCGGUGCUGGAAGGUUAAUUGAUGGGGUUAGCGUAAGCGAAGCUCUUGAUCGAAGCCCCAGUAAACGGCGGCCGUAACGAUAACGGUCCUAAGGUAGCGAAAUUCCUUGUCGGGUAAGUUCCGACCUGCACGAAUGGCAUAAUGAUGGGUGCGCUGUCUCCAGCAGAGACUCAGUGAAAUCGAAUUCGCCGUGAAGAUGCGGUGUACCCGCGGCUAGACGGAAAGACCCCGUGAACCUUUACUGCAGCUUGACAUUGAACUUUGAUCUUACUUGUGUAGGAUAGGUGGGAGGCUUUGAAAUCAA